Molecule: long non-coding RNA, 1557 nt
Organism: Monodelphis domestica (gray short-tailed opossum)
Lineage: Eukaryota; Metazoa; Chordata; Mammalia; Didelphimorphia; Didelphidae
Source: Ensembl
GAAUGUUCUGAUUCUGACAAAACUAAAGACUUGUCCCUUCCCUCCCAGAUCACCAGAAAUGGCCAAGAAGAUGGAGAAAAUGAAUUGUUCCGUCUUGGAGGAUCGUGACAACAGGCCAGCAACUGCAGAACCAGCCCCCCAACCUCCAGCCACUAGAAGAAAGGAGAGGCCUAACCUUUCUGCACCUCAAGAGGACACCUGGAGUCCAGAGUCCAUUCGUAUCCUUCUGGAUGUGUGGGCAUCCUCUGACAUCCAGAGUAUGAGGAUAGCUGGGAAGAAACUGCGAAACAUCUGCAAGGGGAUAGCCAAUCGUUUACAAAUGCAGGGUGUGCAGUGUAGCUGGGUGCAGUGUCGGAACAUGAUGCUAUCCUUGGAAGAUAUGUACUGGAGUAUCCAGGAGGCCAACCAGAACAAGCAGGGGGACCCCAUCAUUCACCCAUUUCAUGAAGGUUUGGAAAAAGUUCUGCCCUUCAUAUAUGCCUGUCCUGAAGGCCAUAAGGAUGAGCCCAAAGUUUAUGAACCUUCAGGGGCAUAUAGUUGGAAACCAACCCCAACAUGGACCGCUCCCUGGCGAAGCCAGGUGCCACCCCAGGAGAUGACUAGGAAUAGAACUUCCAUUUCCCACAUAGAAAACAGACAAACAGUCCUGAACACCCCCCAGGAGCCACCCCAAGCAAAGCCAAGCACUCCCAGACAUUUUAUCCAUAACCCAAGGCAUAUGACAGCUGGGAAUACCCCCCAACAUCCAUCAAUGACUCCUCCCUGCCUUCUGAUCCAAACUUCACAGGAGAACCUCCCCCAGAGUGUGCCCCAAGGGGUCCCAUGGAUCCCAGGCCCACCUAUCUUCAGACCAAACCACUUGACCCAGGAGAAUAUUUUCUACCAUCCAACACAAGUCUAUGUUCAGCACCUAGGAACACAGGACAGUCCCCAGGAGCAACCUCAGGAGAUCCCUCCCACUGCUGCCCCUUUGGCGAACAUGGACAACAAAGAGUCGUGUGAGAAUACCCCCCAAGAUCUAGCCCAGGGGAUCUCUUCCAUUGUUGUCUCUGGGAACAAGGAAGAGGCAGGUGAGGAAACCACUCAAGAUCAACCUGAGAAGAUCCCUUCCACUGUGACCUAUUUGUUUAACAUGGACCAUGAAGAGCAAGUUGGAAACACAUCUCAAGACCCAGCAGCAGAGAUCCCACAGACUGCACCAACUAAUUCUUCAGUUCUGAAUGAGGAAUCAUCUGAGAACACUCCCACUCAAGAACCUCCACAGAUCUCCUACUCUCAACCAUUUUAUAUUCCAAACCAACAGAUAUUUGAAUACUUCCCUCCAUAUCCGUCACCCCUUCCCCUUCCCAAUGGACCUGUACCAUUCUUCUACCCACCUUGGUAUUUCUUUCCCAACCACUAUGUCUGAACAUGAGAGGGAAUCUUCAAGAAAAGACAUCAAGUCUCUCCUCAAAUACACAAAGUAAUCCUUCACCUGCUUUGGAAAGACUUGCCUGUUAGAAGCUCUGAGUAGAUUUCUACACUCAUGCUUUUAUGUAUUCAUUUGACCUGUCUUUC